This 253-nucleotide ribosomal RNA is filed under the name uncultured bacterium. RNAcentral describes it as "partial 16S ribosomal RNA". It matches the Rfam family "Bacterial small subunit ribosomal RNA", at positions 524 to 776 of the family's 1533-position model. The record is from RNAcentral.
UACGUAGGGUCCGAGCGUUGUCCGGAAUUAUUGGGCGUAAAGGGCUCGUAGGCGGUCUGCUGCGUCGGGAGUGAAAACUUACAGCUUAACUGUGAGCGUGCUUCCGAUACGGGCAGACUUGAGGUAUUCAGGGGAGAACGGAAUUCCUGGUGUAGCGGUGAAAUGCGCAGAUAUCAGGAGGAACACCGGUGGCGAAGGCGGUUCUCUGGGAAUAUCCUGACGCUGAGGAGCGAAAGUGUGGGGAGCGAACAGG